UACGAAGGGGGCUAGCGUUGCUCGGAAUCACUGGGCGUAAAGGGUGCGUAGGCGGUUCUUUAAGUCAGGGGUGAAAUCCUGGAGCUCAACUCCAGAACUGCCUUUGAUACUGGAGAGCUUGAGUCCGGGAGAGGUGAGUGGAACUCCGAGUGUAGAGGUGAAAUUCGUAGAUAUUCGGAAGAACACCAGUGGCGAAGGCGGAUCACUGGCCCGGUACUGACGCUGAUGUGCGAAAGCGUGGGGAGCAAACAGG
This 253-nucleotide ribosomal RNA is filed under the name uncultured bacterium. Its description in RNAcentral is "partial 16S ribosomal RNA". It matches the Rfam family "Bacterial small subunit ribosomal RNA", at positions 524 to 776 of the family's 1533-position model. The record is from RNAcentral.